Molecule: ribosomal RNA, 274 nt
Filed under: uncultured bacterium
Lineage: Bacteria
Description: partial 16S ribosomal RNA
Rfam family: Bacterial small subunit ribosomal RNA
Source: RNAcentral
CUACGGAGGCUGCAAGCGUUGUUCGGAAUUAUUGGGCGUAAAGAGCAUGUAGGCGGACUAUUAAGUCUGGUGUGAAAGCCCGGGGCUCAACCCCGGAAGUGCAUUGGAUACUGGUAGUCUUGAGUAUGGGAGAGGAAAGUGGAAUUCCGAGUGUAGGAGUGAAAUCCGUAGAUAUUCGGAGGAACACCAGUGGCGAAGGCGGCUUUCUGGACCAAUACUGACGCUGAGAUGCGAAAGCGUGGGGAGCGAACAGGAUUAGAAACCCCAGUAGUCC